GAGCCCUAUUUCUGAUUCCAAACUUUGUUUACUUACUAAUAUUAACUCUGUCACCUGGAUUACAGAUUCAGGUGCCUCUAAUCACAUGACACAUGAUAAACAUCUACUUUUUAACAUCACACCUUUAACUCUGCCAUAUCUUUUCACUCUUCCUAAUGACUAUAAGGUGAAAGUGACAUGCACAGGCUCCUUUGCAUUGACCCCUUCCAUUACUCUUCAC
Molecule: long non-coding RNA, 220 nt
Filed under: Nicotiana benthamiana
Lineage: Eukaryota; Viridiplantae; Streptophyta; Magnoliopsida; Solanales; Solanaceae
Description: long non-coding RNA (NBEN_LNC000864)
Source: RNAcentral